RNAcentral lists this ribosomal RNA (500 nucleotides) under uncultured euglenid. RNAcentral's name for it is "bacterial SSU rRNA". It matches the Rfam family "Bacterial small subunit ribosomal RNA", at positions 980 to 1501 of the family's 1533-position model. The record is from RNAcentral. Lineage: Eukaryota; Euglenozoa.
UUUGACAUCCCAUAUUUUUUUCUAGAAAUAGAAAAAUUGACGUGGAGACAGGUGGUGCAUGGCUGUCGUCAGCUCGUGUCGUGUGAUGUUGGGUUAAGUCCCGUAACGAGCGCAACCCUUGUCUUUAGUUCGAUAGNNNAAAGAAACUGCCGAUAAUAAAUCGGUGGAAGGUGAGGAUGACGUCAAGUCAGCAUGCCCCUUAUAUUNNGGGCGACACACGUGCUACAAUGGUUAAGACAAUGGGAUGCAAACUUGUAAAAGGAAGCUAACCUCAAAAACUUAAUCGAAGUUCGGAUUGUCGACUGAAACUCGUCGACAUGAAGCUGGAAUCGCUAGUAAUCGCCGGUCAGCCACACGGCGGUGAAUACGUUCUCGGGCCUUGUACACACCGCCCGUCACGUUAGGGAAGCUGAUUACGCCCGAAGUCAUUAAUUUAACCUUUUGGAGAAAAAUGCCGAAGGCAGAGUGAGUAACUAGAACGAAGUCGUAACAAGGUAACA